Long non-coding RNA from Rhea pennata, 693 nucleotides. RefSeq lists it as uncharacterized. The record is from RefSeq and is a predicted model, not a curated record. NCBI's taxonomy places the organism in Eukaryota, Metazoa, Chordata, Aves, Rheiformes, Rheidae. The transcript is spliced from 3 exons.
UUUAUAGGUACAUUCACAACUUUCCCUGCAACCUCUCUCUCUGGGGUCUCCAAAAAUGCGCAGGAUUUAUGAACUCUAGAAGAAGUUAGGGCCAUAGCAUUGCGUCUUUACAUAGUAUUGCUUCUGGCGAGGGCAGAUGAGGGACUAGGGGAGCUAUGUGCACUGCUACAGGUGCUGUCCAAGGAAAAUCUGUGGUCUGCUGUGCUGAGAGUAGCGUAUACACAGUGUGCGUUGAAGAAGUCCAGCUAUCGUCAGCUUCUUUUCACAUGGGAAGAAAAAUGACAAGGAGGUGAUACCUUCCUAGCAGCAGAAGCACAGGCUCUCCAGCUGGGCAUAAUCCUUCCAUUACAAUUUCAGCAGGAACUAAUCCUGCUCCAACACAAAAAUUACCUGAAGGAUAUUCUACAAGGAAGAUCUCACAGAGCACCAUGGACUUCACUUAUCUUCAGGUCAGAUCUAGAGCUUUCCAUUUGUUGAAGAGCUUUGCAGUGUAGAAGUCCUAAAUUCAUAAAGCCUAGUUGGUAUGGUGUGGAUCCCUCAUAUGUGUAAAUUGUUACAGCAUCAUGGAUGGAUUUGAUGUAUUUCUUUGUUUCUUUUCUUCCUUUUCUUUAUUUAGUCAAAAUAUUUAACUGAGUUUUAUGGUAUAAAUAUAAAACCCAAAUUAAAGCAAUUACGUUGUGGAAAAAAAAAGGA